UUUAGUAGCUAAAGAAGAUUCAAAUUAGACAGUUUCUUUCUGGCUGAAAUCUAUCAAAAAUAGAAUAAUGAAAUCCUUGGCCAUUUUAGCUGUAAUAUGUGUCCUGUUUGGCCUUGUUUUAGGAUUAAAAGAUCCUAUCUGUGGACAAGUUCCUGCUGCCAAUGGCUUUUAACUUCGGCGUUGCUUUGGCCGUAUUAUUUAUUAUUCCUACUAUCCGAUGAGCAACGAAUGUUUGGCCUUCAAUUAUGGCGGUUGUGGUGGAAACAUGAAUAAGUUUCCUUCGAAAGAGAGCUGUGAGGAGGCAUGUAUGGAAAAAUAAAUUUUUUUUAAAUAAAAUAAAACGCAAAAUUUCCUAACAUCUUUAAA
This is a long non-coding RNA of Drosophila bipectinata, 366 nucleotides long. RefSeq lists it as uncharacterized. Lineage: Eukaryota; Metazoa; Arthropoda; Insecta; Diptera; Drosophilidae. The record is from RefSeq and is a predicted model, not a curated record.